UUUAUGGAGAGUUUGAUCCUGGCUCAGGAUGAACGCUGGCGGCGUGCCUAAUACAUGCAAGUCGAGCGAACGGACGAGAAGCUUGCUUCUCUGAUG
RNAcentral lists this ribosomal RNA (96 nucleotides) under Staphylococcus aureus. Its description in RNAcentral is "partial 16S ribosomal RNA". It matches the Rfam family "Bacterial small subunit ribosomal RNA", at positions 1 to 93 of the family's 1533-position model. The record is from RNAcentral. Lineage: Bacteria; Bacillati; Bacillota; Bacilli; Caryophanales; Staphylococcaceae.